GUGGUUCGGCAAAGGAGAUCUGGUGGGGGUAGCAGAGCUUUGAGAUCCUCUGGACAGUUUUCAGUGUGCAUUUUAAAAAGCACAGUUGUUGCUGCAACAGUUCUACGUUGGCUGAGCUGGCUAAUUGCAUAUUUCCUUAGGGCAGUGUCCUCAUCCUCCCCAAUGAUUUUCAGUGCCUUUUUCUGGAUGUUGUCAAGCUGCCCAAGGGUGGUCUGUGAUGCUUGUUGGCCAACCUACGCAGAGCUCCUAGACGCUGUCCAGCACGCUUGCAGAUGUUUGACAGGUGAUUAGUCCAUAGCAACUUCCUAUCGAUACAUAGUCCCAGAAUAUUCAACUGCUCACAAAGGUCAAUUCUGAUUGUCCCCCAAAAAAGGUUCGGGCAGUGAUAAGGGUUUUACAAAAACAGAGCUAUAAGAGAGUAGUGAGGUAUGCAGGUGUUCCAACAGUAAGAACAGAGUUAACAGAGACAGCUAGGAAACACCACUGGGACAGCCUUGGACAUCAACUGGAAGAAUAACAGCAGAGGAAGCGGCAAGACCAGGCAGAUAAUAAAAAAAAAAAAAAAAAAAAAAAAAAACGAGUAAGGCACCAAAGAGCUGAGCUCAGACACUUGUUAACCACAGACUGAGAACCAGUGGCAGGACAGGAACUCUAACAACACAGAGACAAGACAGGACAAGUCUCCACAGGAACACAAAUUACUCCAAUGCAGGCAUGGGGAUACAUGCAACAAAAGUGAUAAAGUAAAAGUAACAAGAAAAUUACCAAAUUAACCAACAACUAAAAGAACAAACAGAUGCAAAACAAAAAGAUCAAGACUAGAAGAAUUGAAUAAAUACAAAAAUAAAGACAAAAACAGACAAAAUGCAAAGGAGCAAGACAAGAACAAGGAACUACAGUACAAAAGACUAGACAAGACAAGGACACAAGACCAGCCAGGACUGAGACCGAGACAGAAGGGAUGAAAAUGACCACAAACCGGUUAAGACAAGAGGGCAAGGAGAACUAUAUAUAGGGAGGAGGGCACAUGAGGAACAGGUGAGAGCAAUUAGAUCAACAAGGACUCAAGAGGGCUAACAAGAGGGUGUGGUAAAGAGGAAACAAGGAGGAGGGGCUAGAGAAGCAGAUGGCUGACAAAAACAACAAAGCCAUGAGCUGACACAUAAGACAACCAUAGACACGUGAAACAAAGUCAAAACAAACAGGGUGUCAGGGCAGAACCCUGACAGAUGAGUAAUUAGUCAAAAGGAAUUAAUGAAGCUUUUAUUCUUAUAGAUGCAUGCUAAUACCCUGAUUAUACUGUCUGAUUAUCUGAUUCUAUUGUCUUUAAUUAGCAGAGUUUUCAGAUGACCAUGUCUGUAAUCAUAAUAUUAAUCAUCUGCCUGUAAUCUUAAUCUGAUAGGAGGUGAAAUAAAAUGAGAACAGUCAGCAAUAUGUCAGGAAACCUUUGUAGAGUUAAUGGCCAUUUUUUUUCAAGAUUAAUGAUUAUAGUAAAAUAUAAAUAUAGAUCUACAUACUAUAAAUGAUAAUUAGUCAAGCAAAGCAUCACUGUGAGACAAACUGGAAUAAAAUUAAUAAUAAAUGUUUCCUACAGUAACCCAAAAAACUAUUCAUUCAACCUAUGCUACUACCUACUGAUGAAAUAUGGAAAUGGGAGAAACAUUAUUUUAGAGAAGGUCCGCAAAAACACAUGAAAAUAAAGAAGACAUACAAUCUCUUCACUUAUAGGGGCUCUAAUGAUGCAGAGGAUUGGAUGAAUUAAUAAAUAUUUUCCAAUUAUUAACUGGACACUCCAGUGAAAAAACAAAAAAACAAAAAAAAAACAUAACAUAUAAGAACUUUGUUGCUUGUGAGAGCAUGAGCUUGAUUAAAUAGCUAAACAAAUUAAAGAAAUUAAUCCUACAUGUAAACUUAAAUUAGUUAUAUUUAGAGUAACCAUUUUUUAUCAAUUCACAAAAUAAUAAUUAAUUACAAAUAAUAAAAAUCAUAAAUAAUAUUAACAACACUAGAAUAAUAAAAAAAUAAUAAUAAUAAUAAUAAUAAUAAUAAUAAUAAUAAUAAUAAUAAUAAUUAAUACUAAUAAAAAUAUAUUAUUAUUAUUAUUAUUAUUAUUAUUAUUAUUAUUAUUAAAGAGGAGGAGGAUCUCAGAAAAUAAUAAAAGAGUUGCCAGACUACAUAGCAGGUGUUGAUAACAGGUGGAGAUUUCCACUCACACCUCAGAGAGAGAGAGUAUCAGAACAGAAUAAGUGGGGCAUGAAGAAAAAUAAAAAAAACAUGUCAAAGUUGCUGAAAGGCCUUGGAAAGUUCCAGCAGCUCGACUGGGCAGGAGGGGGAGAAUAACAAAGCAAUCACAGUGCUGUGGAUGUGUAGGGCUGUGGCCAAUCAGCAGGCAGUCAGCACUUUUAUUCCCCCUUCUUUUUUGCUUGGAUUCAUGCUGUGCUUUUAUUAUAGGACGUAGAUAUCAAGUACCCACUGGCUAUUUGCCCUUCUUCACAUGCUGAGCUCAAUUCUGGAAUGGAAAAAGUGCUGCUUUAUCCUGACCUGGGAAUACAAAGCCUUCUUCAGUCUCAAUCGAUAAGGUUCUGGCUCUGAUAGAAAACAGGGCACUAGAUCCUCCCCUUGGUAAUGGAGUUUACAUCUAGUGCUUUUCCCAAGCAGAAAACUGCUCUGAUGCCUUUAUCAAAACACAGUGGUGUGAUAUAGUUUAUUAAAACAGGUAUCACAAGCAGAACUAUCA
This is a long non-coding RNA of Cyprinus carpio carpio, 2737 nucleotides long. The record is from Ensembl. Lineage: Eukaryota; Metazoa; Chordata; Actinopteri; Cypriniformes; Cyprinidae.